CCCCCAUUUAUCCCUUCAGGGCCAGAGCCCUGUGGGCGGAGCCACCCGGAAGCCACGCCCCUUCCGGGAGGGACGAAAGGGCGUGGCUUCGGGCAGCCCCGCCCCCCUCAGCACCGCCAGCCAAUCAGCUGCGGGAUUUGGGGUGGGGUGGGAGGGGCCGAGAGGCGUUGCUAGGCAACCCUGAGCAGGAAGGGGCGGGGGGAGCGUGGUCGCCAUGGCAACGGUUGCCUGGCAACAGCGCGGGCCAAUAAAAACCGUGACAGGACCUCCUGGCUCCGCCUCCUUCCUUCUGAUUGGCUGCCUGCUCCUGCCACGCUGAUUGGCCGCGCAUCGCCUAGCCCCACCCCCAACCCCUCCCAUUGGCUGUAGAGGGGCGGGCCGGCGCUCUGCGCUUCCUGAUUGGCUCCCCGCUCCGCCCAUCACCUCCUCUCGACCAAUAGGAGGCCGUUUCUUGUUUUCCCCCGCUUCCGCUUCCUCCCUGGGCCAGCCCCGCCUCCUCCGGCGGCUCCGAGCGGNNNNNNNNNNGGCCCAAGAUGGCCGCCGGCCCCCCGCGGAGGCCGCUGGCCAAUGGGGUGGCGGCGGGGCCGGGGGCGGCGGCCAAUCAGGGGGCUCCGUCUACCGGGGGUCCCCCCGCAGGAGGCCCCAGGAGGCCGCGGGAGGAGGCGGCGGCCAAUGAGGAGGCGGGAGGGGGCAGGAAGUCGGCGGCGGCCAUGUUGGGGUCAGCAGCGGCCAUGUUGGGGUCAGCGGAGGUCAGCGAGGGGUCGGCGGAGGUCACCGGGAGGUCGCCGGAGGUCACCGGGAGGUCAUCAGAGGUCACCCAGGGGUCGCCGGAGGUCACCCAGGGGUCAGCGGAGGUCAAGGGGUCAACGGAGGCCAAGGAGGGGUCAACGGAGGUCACCGGGAGGUCACCGGAGGUCAUCUUGGGGUCAACGGAGGCCACCCAGGGGUCAACGGCGGCCAACGCGGGGUCAACCGGGGUCAC
Molecule: long non-coding RNA, 982 nt
Filed under: Anas zonorhyncha (Eastern spot-billed duck)
Lineage: Eukaryota; Metazoa; Chordata; Aves; Anseriformes; Anatidae
Description: lncRNA (ENSAZOG00000013839.1)
Source: RNAcentral